GAUAACAGGCUGAUCUUCCCCAAGAGCUCACAUCGAUGGGAAGGUUUGGCACCUCGAUGUCGGCUCUUCGCCACCUGGGGCUGUAGUAUGUUCCAAGGGUUGGGCGAAUGUCCUGUCAGCCUUAAGGUCUAGAGAAUUAGAACUUAAGUUU
RNAcentral lists this non-coding RNA (151 nucleotides) under Morus notabilis. RNAcentral describes it as "Bacterial large subunit ribosomal RNA". It matches the Rfam family "Bacterial large subunit ribosomal RNA", at positions 2473 to 2582 of the family's 2925-position model. Lineage: Eukaryota; Viridiplantae; Streptophyta; Magnoliopsida; Rosales; Moraceae. The record is from Rfam by way of RNAcentral.